UAUUGUUUAGAAUCUGGACCAUAGUAGAUACGGAGAAAGGGUCUACAGGUGGUUGUGAAGUCGCUGAGCUCGCAGAGCCAUCACCAGAUGGACUUGAUGACUUAACUUUUAGAAAAUCUUGUAUGGCUCUACAAGUUUCAGCAAAACUGGAUUGGUUACUCUUUCUUCUCCGCUUACUAUUUGGAGUUCUAUCCAAUUUGUGCUUCCCACGAGCUGAAGUUCCAGUAUCGUCUGUUGUAAAAAGUCUGUUACCACUGUGGUAUCCAAAGAAAUCAUUUGCAUUGCUACCAUCAUAGUCACCACCUGCAUUGACACCAUCUGCAUCGCCACCACUAUUGUCACCACGUACAUUGUCAUUACCAUUGUCAUCAUCAUCCGACAGAUUGUCUUCUUGAGCACAUCCUACGGCAUGAUCCCCAGUAGCAUAUGUACCACCAAAAACAAUACAAAGCUCAGGAUAUUGAGGAAAUCCAUUCUUCCUGAAUCUUGCCCACUCGACAUUAUCCUACAAUUUUUACAAUAAUGAUAUUUCAGCAAUAUAAUCAUACAUUUUAAAAUUGACAUCUGUAAUGAUAUCAAAAUGACCACAAAGUUAAGAAAUACCUUGAUAUGAGAUUCUCAUAUACUUGGAUCGUCAACAACAACUCUUUUGUUGACAUUAUCCCAACCAAAUCCGGACUGAGAAAUGAGUUUGUGAAAACUGCCAUACUGUUUUUUCAGUUUGUUUACCUUGUUCCUCAGCUGAACCAUGGUAAAUUGGAAUCAUGUCUGUCUAUUGAGUUCAGACUGUACAUUCCUCCACCCCGCUUUGUUGAAAGUGGAAGAGGCGCGGUUUCCCUUUUUGACCUCAUCCACCAAUAAACCGAUAAGUAUAUUGGUUACAGACUCUAUCCACUUUGCAUUGAAUGAGUGUCUCUCGGAUGCCAUUGAAUCUUCGACCGGUUGAGCAUCACAUGAGUUAUGAAUUAAAUCAUUAACAUAAAACCGUAAGAACUACACGCCAUACACAAAAUUAGCAUGGUAACCUAUAUGGAUCCGUAUACCCUAUCCUAUUUUGUGAAUGGUCCAACUAAAUUAUAAGAUCUCUAAGAUUAAGACAAUGAAAAAAGAAGCCGAGAGGCCAACCUUAGCGUGCGGAUGAUUGUUUCCAAAUUCAGCAAAUUGCGAUUUAUGUAGCAGGGACUGGCAAAUUCCGGACAGAGCAAGGGAAAAAGAAUAUGUCUUCGUGGAUUGGCACCAGCAAGGCGGAACUUUGGAUGGAUCCACCGAAGUUCUCAAAGCAUCAGCGUCGAUAAUGGAUCCAUCGAAGCAUUAUAGCCAUAAGAUACCAAGGAUCUCGCAUAAUGUAUAAUCCCCAACAUUCCUACCAAAAAAAGUCGAACAACGUUGUUCUGAUAGAUUCACAAAGAAUGCACUAAAUGAACAAGUCGACAGCUAUGCGGUCGCAUAUGAAAAAUGACAUGUUAGGGCACAAAGUUUUCACUAGCCAGUUGUCGCGACCUACCCUCAGGGGGAGGGGAGGAGAAGCAACACAGAAAACACCAGCACAAAACAGAGCGAGGGAGAGAAUCGAGCCACUCUCUUCUCUUUUUUUUCUUUUCUGUUCUUUUCUUUUCUUUUACUUUUAUUUUUCUCCUCCCCUUUAGUCUACCCCUCUACAUGUUCUCUUCUUCGGGCGUCAUCUUCUUCCUUUUGUCUUUUUCACUUUUAACACCCAUUUUUUUCUUUUUCUUCCUCGACUUCCGAUUGGAUCAAAAUGUGGCUGAGCCGCAAGGAGUCAUAGAGACACACAGAAAAUACUAAUAUUAGACCAAAUCCAAGCAAUACAGGACAAAACGCGAAUUGAGAAGCUUUAACACAAAGGCAGAAAAAGAAAUAACAAUAACUUGGACAUUGAUUCACAUCACUUUGAUAUAUUCAGCCACAAAUCCAUAGUGAUUCACAUCACUUUGAUAUAUUCAGCCACAAAUCCAUAGAUCUACAUGAUGUCAUAGAGAUUGAUAUUAAAGAAACAAUAAUGUAUAGAACUCUGACACUGAUAAAAGGCUAUUUCGUCAUGCCCGAUGUUGUCAAUUGACAGUCCACACACAAUGAAAAGUGUAGCAGAGCAGAUGCUCGCUUGGCAACAAUAACUUCUCUGCUCGCUGCUGCGAGCAGAGCAGGGCUCGCUGAAGCAAGCGAGCAGACGCUCGCCGCUCUGCUCGCUCGAGCGUGAGCAGUAGCAAGCGAUGCUAGCCCCACCUGUCCAAGGCAAAAGAAGAUUUAAAGAGACACAUAACAGAAUUCCACCCGAUCCCAGAAAAGAUGUAACCUUGGAAGUUGGACAAUAGUUUCAAAUCGGGUAUCAGAGCUUUGGUUCAAUGGCUCCUCGCCGUACAAAGGCCGUUUGGGAAACCUUAGCUACGGUGAGAGAUCAAUGAGACAUCGAGAUGGAGGAAUUCAGAAAUCAAGUGCAGUAGCUUCAAAAACGUUUGGAGCUCUAUGAGGCUCUAGAGCGCAAUCAACCGCAUCGUGCCUCUGAAGAUGAAGAAUCAGUCUGCUCGCUCGAGCGUGAGCAGCAGCGACGCUCGCUGCUCUGCUCGCUCGAGUGUGAGUAGCAGCAAGCGAGUAGACGCUCGCUGCUCUACUCGCUCGAGCGUGAGCAGCAAUGACGCUCGCUGCUCUGCUCGCUCGAGCGUGAGCAGUAGUGAGCAAGCUGCUCAUCUAGGCGAGCGUAAGCCUGCUGGUACACAUCUCGAGCGAGCAGACGAGCUGCUGUCGCAGAUCUGGGCGAGCAACACUCGCCCAGAUCUGCGAGACUCGCUCGAGCAAGCGUCUCGCAGAUCUGGGCAAGCGCUGGCUCGAGCGAGCCCUCACACUCGAGCUCCGACCAGCCAUCGCCCAGAUCUGCGAGGGGUGGCUCUUGCCGAAGUGAAGACAAUCGGUGAAGGAGGAGCAGUGACCAGGUUUACCUGGUGAAGGAGCAGCGGCUGUCGGCGCCGGAGAGGACGACGGUGGAGAAGGCGGAUGCUCUCGAGACAGAGGCCGCUGUCGGCGCUGGAGAAGACGAUGGACUUCUCUGCUCGCAGGAGGAGACGCUCAUCGCAGGAGGAGACGCUCGUUGCUCAUCGCAGGAGGAGACGCUCGUCGCAGAAGGAGAGAGGCAGUGUUCGAAGGGAGCAAGAAAUAGAAAAGGAACACGAUUUUGUUCUUUUUUUGUUCCUCAAAUGUGUUUCAGAAAUAAGAAACACAAAUUUUAUGUUUCUUAUUUCUGUUUCUUUUUUGUUCCUGAGAACAAAAGAACAAAAAAGGAACAGAAACGCACCCAAACGUGUUUCUGUUCCUUUUUUGUUCCCAGGAACAAAAAAAAACAGAAAAAGUGUUUAAAAACAAAAAAAAGAAGUGCAAACAAACAGAGCCUUAGUAGCCGGAGUUUGUAGAGGCCGCAGGAACGGGUUGUCGAUUGCCCCUUUUUGCAAGAAUAGUGCGCCCGUCUUCUACGAGCCAAACCGAAGCCCUAGCUCAUCGAUUGUGCGAUUCAUUUCAGGAGAAAGCAAAAACCCAUGAGCCAAAGCCCAUGGGCCCCGCAAAAUAUGAUUGAAAAUUGUUGGAUGUAAUUGUAGGCUUAUAGCCCGAACGAGAGAAGUGAGUAUGAAUUAUUGCCCACGCGAGGCCAAGUAGCUAAGCUGAUUAGGCUUGCCCCAAAGCCCAUCGCAGAAAAAUCCCUCCCUUCUAAGUGGUUGUGUUAUCCCCCUUCGCCUCUUUGGAAUAUGUUAUGUUCUGAGACUCGUCUAUCAAGUUCCAAAUACUAUAAUUGUCUUGUGUUAUCCCGCAUAGUGAUGGGAGUUAAUAUUCUCAAAUAUUUGGGGUGAAGGUUAUGUUUAGUGUGUACCACACUAGAAUGAUAGACAACAUCUUAUGAGAAGGGUAUGUAGCUUGAAAUAAUUCUACGGAUAGUUCCUCACUUGCAUAUGAAGAAAGGAGAAGACAGAUUCGGCCAUUUACUACGACUUGAAUAGAAUCAGAUUGUACUACUGAGGAUUAUCGGCAAAAGAACGCUUCAAGUGCCAUAACUUUGACCAAAUGGACACUUAAGUGCCAUAACUUACGAAAGGUAUAUUUAAGUGCCAAAUUCGAAAAAAAACGAAUCACUUGAGUGCUACUCCGGCCAAAGUCCGGCUAAAACGCCAACGUGGCGUUUUUCCGGUGAAGUGCGCCCAAAACGACGCCGUUUUGCACGCUGACGUGGCAAAAACGGCGUCGUUUUGGGGCUGACGUGGUAAAAAGAAAAUUAAAAAAUUAAUUAAAUUAAAUUUAGUUAAAAUAUUUAAAAAUAAUAAUUUUAAAAUUAAAUUUAUUUUAAAUAUUUUAAAAAAUAAUAAUUUAAAAAACUUUAAAAAACUUUAAAAUUUAAAAAAAAAAAAUUUAAAAAAAGGGAAUGGGGGAGGCGGCUGAGGGAUCAGCCCUCAGCCGUCGCCGCCGCUGCCCUGCCGCCGCCGCGCCCUCCCCAGCGACGGCGGGGGGAGGCUCCCCCCGGGGUCGCCGGGCCCUGGCCAGGGGCCGACGACCCCAGCCGAUCGACGGCGAGGGUCGCAGCCCUCGCCCAGAUCCAGCGAGGGUCGACGACCCUCGCCCGGCCGGGCCAAGGGCCGCCGCUGAGGGAUCAGCCCUCAGCCGCCUCCCCCUGUUCCCUUUUUUUUUUUUUUUUUUUAUUUUUUAAAAGUUUUUAAAAGUUUUUUUAAAAUUUUAAAUGAUUAUUUUUUAAAAUAUUUUAACUAAAUUUUAUUUUAAAUUAAAUUUAAUUAAUUUUUUAUAUAUUUUUUUCCACGUUAGCCAAAACAACGCCGUUUUGGCCACGCUUCGCCGGAAAAACGCCACGUUGGCGUUUUGGCCAGAUUUUGGCCGGAUUGGCACUCAAGUGAUCCAUUUUACUCCGAUUUUGGCACUUAAGUGUACCUUUCGUAAGUUAUGGCACUUAAGUGUCCCUUUGGCCAAAGUUAUGGCACUUGAGGGGUCCGCGAGUCGAGGAUUAUCCAUGACUAAGGGGAUAGCAAGAGGACUUGCCUAGCCUAGCCUAGCACUCGUCUUCAUCAUCUAGAUUGACAUCGAUUGAUGCAAGUUUUGUACAAAUAGUAUUAAACUCAUUUAAGUGCGAAGAAUAUGAAUCACCUUCACUCAUCCGAAAAUUGUAGAGUCGCCUCCGUAGAAAUAGCCUAUUCACAAACAAUUUGUUCUGAUAAAUGUUUUCCAUUUUCGUCUACUCCCCUAUGCAACGAAGACUUCACCAAUAGAUUAAUGGCAUAGUUCCAUUUUUCCAAUCAAUUAAUCAAGUGAUCUCAUUCAAUAAAUGCCUAAUAUGUCUUUCUGAUCUCACAUCACUCAUGCAUGGGCUAUUUGCGUCAGUAAAAUAUUAAAUUCUCAAAAUGGUCUGGAAUAUCAUCAAAAUAUUACAUUUUGAUACGCCAUUUUGAUGAUCUCCGCAGCUCAUGGUCUGACCAUAAAAUCGAAUUGAUUACUUUCACACAUAGGAGCAAAGUAAAGAAUAAGAUGCAUCGGUGAGAUUGUUAUAUUUAAUGAUUCGAUAGAUUUCACAAGUAAAGAACUUUAUUAAGUUACUUUUCUAAACGAAAUUUAGUUUUCUAUCACAAUUAUUCUACUUUCUCCCGUCUCACGGUCAAAAAGUCGCACAAGCAAAGAAUUAAACAAAGCUUGUUGGAGACAGGAGAGGCCAUACCAAGAAAAGCAUUAAAACGAUAUGUUCCAACAAAAAUCCAAGCAAACAAGCCAGCAUACACACGCAGGCUUGCUCGAAACAAACACAUUGAUCAGGCAUGGCUGCUUCCAACACGAUAACAUACACGUGGGCUGCUGAAGCCGCCGCCGAGAUCGUGUCCCAGAAAUUAGAGAUGUUGCUCUCUCACCCGGUGUGCCUAAGGUGCUCAUUGACGGAACCGCUCGCGAAGGAGGCCAGGGAGAAGCUGGCCAUGAUCCAAGAGUUCUUUUCCACGCGAGACAGCUUGUCCCCGAGCACCGUGAGGUGGUUGGGGCGGCUCCUCCAAGCCAUGUACGACGCCGAGGAAUUCAUCGACAAAUUCCACCUCAGAGAGGCCCGCGGAAGGCACAAGGCCCUGCACAUUGCCACGAGGCCGCCCACCGCGCUCAUCUCUAGGUGCAAGCUGCGGAGGAACCUGUCCAAUCUGGUGAAUAAGAUGCGGGAGUUGUGUCAAGAUCAGUGCUUCACAGGCAAGGAGGCCAAGGGCAAGACGAGGAAGGCCUCCUCUGCUAGUGUUCCUGGGCAAGACGAGAAACAGGAGAGGCUGACUAGUUUAUGGGAUUGGCAAGCGUCGAUUAACUCCUUAUGGCGGGAGAAAAAGGAGGAAAUAAAGGAGAGGAUUGGGGAGGGACCGAAAUCGGGGAAUCUCGGUUGGACUUUAAUUAGGGGUGAGCCAGGUGCCGGCAAGACGUCCGUCGCGAGAUGGGUCUACAGGGAAGCGAUGUACCUGGGCUUCAAGUGGCGUGCUUGGGUCCACCUCUCGCCCAGCAUGGACAUGCAGGAGUUCUUGUUCGAGGUACUGAAGCAAAUUAGGAAGCUGGCGAGGGAGCUGAAGGACAUGAACUUGCAGGAGAUGACGGAAAUCCACCCCCAUGACUUGGCCAAGUGGAAGAAGUUCCUCAUCGUGUUGGAUGGCGUGCACACGUCCAACGUGCAACUCUUGGGAGGGUUAGCGAGAAUCCUGCGUCAUGGGCAGGGCCACAUAAUCAUCACGACUCAAGACGACCUCAUAGCCAAUACCAUGGGCGGUUUCGAAAAGCCGAUCGAGCCGAAAAAAUUGAACCAAAAAGAAAGCCGGGAAAUGCUCUCCCUGAAGUUGCGUGGAGUGCCCGACGUUCAGAAGCUCUCGAAUGAGGAGGAGGCUAUCCUAGAAACGUGUCAGGGCUCGCUGCUCCGUAUAUCCUUAAUUCUCGGAUUUCUGCCACAUGCUGGAAAGCAGGAACGCGCGGCGUUGGCGAAAGAUGGUUCUAAGAUGUCAUUAUUAGAUCUCCUGAAGUUGAGUUACCAGAAAUUGCCGGCCCCUCUGAAACCGUGUUUCAUCUACAUGGUUUUGUUCCCCCGAGCAACCCCGAUUCGAACGAGAAAGCUAGUGCGGCUGUGGUUGGCUGAGGGCUUAUUGGAUAUGCAUUGUUGUGGUGGAGAAUGGAAAACGACAAGGGCGCCCGAGGAUGUGGGAGAGACUUUCAUUCUGGAGCUCGCGGAAAGGAACAUGAUCGAUGUGGCGAGCUGGAGGGCAGAUGGAUCCCCCAAAACUUGCCACAUGCUCAACUCUCUGUAUGACGUGAUCCGCCCGAUCGCGAUGGACACAGGGUUCCUCUACGUGCAUGACGCUAGGAAGUCGAAAGACGAGAACGACCACUACCCAACUGGCCAGCAACAAGAGCUGCUGGCACAACCACGAGAAACCAAGGUCCGGUGGCUUGCAGAGCACACAAACAUAGUCAGAGACAGCCGCAGCGGCAGCAACCCUGAUUUGAACCUCCGCUACGUCCGCUCGUUUCUGUCGUUCUUCAUGAGGAGAGGCAUGCUCACCAAGGAUAUCAGCACGUUUCUUAGGAAGAUGACUUCCAAGACUGCCUAUAGAUUGCUGAGGGUACUUGACUUGGAAGGUGUGUAUAAGCCAUCCUUGCAUGGUGUGCUCCAUAAGCUGGUGCUCUUAAAGUACCUAGGUUUGAGAUCCACGGCGUUGCCCUCAAUCCCAAGAGCAGUUGCGGAUCUGCAAUACCUUGAGACUCUUGACAUAAAGGACACCUACAUCACUUCCCUGCCGAAUUCCUUCUGGAUGGCAAGGAACUUGAGGGCACCUGCAUCUAAACUGNNNNNNNNNNNNNNNNNNNNNNNNNNNNNNNNNNNNNNNNNNNNNNNNNNNNNNNNNNNNNNNNNNNNNNNNNNNNNNNNNNNNNNNNNNNNNNNNNNNNGUGUGCGAAGCUAACUUAUUUAGUGUUUCUGUUUCUCCAGUGAUGAUGACACCAAGGCAACGGCUCUUCUUGAAUACAAGCUUCUUUUUCUCGCUGGUUGCCUCUCACGGCCUCUCUAGCUUCCCCGCCGGUCGCCAACUCCACCAGUAGCUACCACUGCCGGCCUUCCAUCUCUGAUUACGAAAGACGCCCGAAGCUCGAACCUGGAGUCCCCUGGAUUUCUCUCUCGCCUGAGGUAACAUCUUUGUCGAUUUGAGUGUUCAAAUGUCUCCGCCUGCUCGCAUUAGCGUCUCCAGCGGCCUACCCGUAGUCCGUACUGAAUCAUCUCCUAUUGCUAUGGUAAACAACAUCAAGAGUUGCGCGAAUAGGCCGGUGGAUUCAUCAGCGUAAAUGCUUCUUUGAGAUUGGAUAUAGAAGCUCGAGGCCUACAAGAGUCCCAUCGUCCCUAGGCGUCGAAUUGUGAAGAGGCUCAUGUCGUUGAUUUUGAUAAUCAACUCCGGCUCUAUUUUUUUUUUUGAUCGAAAAUAAACGACUUGCUAUUGCUUACUUAGCCAUUGUUUGAGUCAAUACAUCAAAAGCAUCGGUGCAUAAUAAGUCUAGUAAAGCGGGCGGGGGAUGAAACAACCAAUUUGGGGGAAGGUAGCUACCGCGACAGGCCUUUGCGAGCCAAUCAGCGGGCCGGUUGGCUAUUCUAUUGCAAUGGGCCAGGGAUAUGUCUCUAAAGGCCUGCAGUUUCGCUCGGGCCCGGUCCAGGAGUGGUUGAAGUUGCCAGUGCACUACCGUUGAUGCUGAAACUCCUUGCAUGAGUGAAAAGCAAUCUGUCUGUACUUGCAGGGAUAGUUCCGCACGAUUGGAAAGAAGAUCUAGGGUUUCAAGCAGAGCCAAAGCUUCUGCCUGUUCUGCCGAAGCCGCCUCCACCAAGCUCGCAAAGCCGUCCACCAUACAUCCUUGGUAAUCCCUGCAGAUGCAUGCUACAGCUGCUCUGUUUCGUGUUGUUCCGCUGGCUUCUGCUUCAGAGGCGUCAAGCUCGACGAAAGACACAUCUAUGUUGACUUUCAGAACAUGAGGGGGCGGAGGUUGCCAACGAUCCGGUAUGGCUGUGAACUCCCUUUCUUCUACUUGUUGUUGGGUCGCGGAUUUACACGAAUCGUGGAGAGCUUGGGCCUAACUAACAACUUGUUGCGGGUGCAGGGGACGCCUCUCGAAGAGGAACUGAUUUCGCCCCUUCCAGAUACUCCAUAGAACAGCUGCUACCUGAUCGAACUUGUUACUCUGGUGAGGGUUGGUUUUGAGUUUACCUAACCACUCAUCGAGGCGGGUUAACCCAUAUCUGGAUAUUUUGAUCUAUAGAGGUGCGGAGCGCCAAAUCCGAGUUGUCCAUGGAUAGAGUAGAAGAAGAUGUUUGAUGGUUUCAACCUCUUUGCUGCAGAUGGGGCAAAUAGGAUCCGGUACGAUCCUUCUUCUAUAUAAGUUUUCCCGGGUUGGGAGAGCGUUUUGAGAGGCUUGCCAGAGGAAGAAUAUGAUUUUUGGGAGGGUUUUUGCUUGCCAAAUAUGUUUCUAUAGAUCUGGAUUGAUGCGAUGCGAUGAGGUUGCUGCUUGGCCUAUGCUUGGUGAGUUUUCUCUGACUGUAUAAUAGCCACUUUUCACUGAAUAGAUACCAGAGUUAUUGUGUGGUCCAGACUAGCUUGUUCUGUUGAAUCUGGCCUUCCGAUAGGUGUUGCAAGAAUUCGUAGCGAUUCUGUCAUCAAACAUCGAUUCCACUAGCUGAACAUUCCAUUUGAUAUUCCUUUGUUGAAUUAGUGCUGCGACAUGUUCUAGUUCGUUUCUUGGUGCCGGGCCUCCAAUCGGACCACUUGUUAUCCAUUUAUCAGCUCUUAUCGAUAAUUGUUUUCCAUUCCCAACUGAAUACAUAAUAUGUGGCCUGAUAGAAUCCCUGCCCCGAGUUAUACUUUUCCAACCCCAUGAAGGUCGGGAUCCAUUUCCAGCUUUCCAGAAGUCUCCAUGAGGGUAAUAGAGACCUUUCAUUACUCUGCUCAAUAAGGACUGAGAGUUUUGUGAGAUGCGCCACGCUUGUUUCCCCAACAUAGCCAUGUUGAAAGCAACUAGGUCUUUAAAACCUAGGCCCCCCUCCUUCUUUCUGAGUUUCAAUGCUUCCCAUUGCUUCCAGUGUAUUCCAGCAUUUCUACUAUUUGUUUUCCACCAAAAGUUAGCAAUCUGCCCCUCAAUAGCUUUGCAAAUAGAGAUAGGGAUCUUGAAAAUGGACAUGGCAUAUUGAGGGAUGGCCUAUACAACUGAUUUUAUCAAUAUUUCCUUCCCUGCUUUUGAUAACAAAUGUUCCUUCCAGCUUUCUAGCUUUCUGUUUACCCUCGCAAGGAUCCAUGCGAACAUGUCUUUUUUUGAGCAACCCCAAUCUGUCGGGAUCCCUAAAUAUUUCCCUGUUUUUUCAAUUUCUGGAACUCUUAGUUCAUUGGCCAUAUUUCUCCUCAAGGUAGUUGGACAACAUUUGUUAAAGUAUAUACCAGAUUUGUUUAGAUUAAUAGUCUAGCCAGAAGCAUAACAAUAUUCAUGUAAGAUAGCCGCCAAGUUUUGGCACUCUAGGAUUGAACCAUGGAGGAAAAAAAUUGAGUCAUCCGCAAAAAGCAAAUGCGAGAGGGUGGGGCAGCUAGGAUUCAGCUUGAUUCCUCUGAUAGUGCCAUCUUCAACUGCUUUUCUCAUCAUGUAGGAUAAAACAUUGGCUACUAAUAUGAAUAGAUAUGGGGAGAGCGGGUCACCUUGGCGAAUUCCACGUGUUGGCUUGAAAUAAAGUAGAGACUCCCCAUUAAAGUUCACACUGAAAGUGACGGUUGAGACACAUUGCAUCACCCAUUGUACCCACUGUGCGCAGAAUCCCAUUUUAGUUAGGCAUGCACUGAGGAAAUCUCAUUCAAUCCUGUCAUACGCCUUCUACAUAUCUAGCUUUAAGAGUGCCUGAAACUUCUUUUUUCUCUCCCGGGUGCAUAAUCUGUGUAGCACUUCCUGUACCAGCAAUAUAUUAUCUUGUAUCAUCCUCCCCUCCACAAAUGCAGCCUGCUCUUCAGCAAUUAGAAUUGGUAGCAGGGGUUUUAAUCUAUCGGUUAGCACUUUUGAUAUAAUUUUGUAAAUGAAAUUGCAAAGGCUAAUUGGGCUAUCUCAAUCCAUUACGCACCAAAUUCUUUCACGCUACAACCAUUCAACGAAGAUCCCGAAAUCAGAUUUCUCUGCUGAAAAAUCCAGAAGAUGAAUGGGUGCGUAAUGAAUAGCAACUGUUCCAGCUUUUCUGGAUUUGGAACUUUGGGAAUAAGGGUAAUAAGCGUGCUAUUCAUAGCUGGAUUGAGAUAGCCCGUGUUGAAAAAUUCCUGUAUCUCUGUAUAAAUAUCCUGGCAAAUGUCUGGCCAGUGUGUUUUGAAAAAGAGACCAUGCAUACCAUCCGGUCCUGGGGGCCCAUAAUGUUCUCUAGUUCUGGGCUAUAUAACAUGUGAUCUCUUCCAUAGAGACAAGUUCUACUAGUCGUUGGUUCAUGGCGGCAUCCACCGAAGCUGGUAUUUGUUGUAGAAGGGGCUGAAAGUUUCGUGGCCUUGCUGAUUCAUACAGCCUUUUGAAAUAUAUGCUUGUCAUCUCUUUCAAUUGCUAUUCAUUACGCACCCAUUCAUCUUCUGGAUUUUUCAGCAGAGAAAUCUGAUUUCGGGAUCUUCGUUGAAUGGUUGUAGCGUGAAAGAAUUUGGUGUUUUUAUCUCCCCAAGCUAACCACUUUAUUCUGGAUCGCAUUCCCCAGUACAUUUCUUCUUGUCGCCAUAACUGUUCAAUUUCUUUUGUCAGUGCCUUGGCUGCCUUGUUUUCUUGAGAGACCCCUGUGUUGUUCGUUAAUUGUUGCAGCUCGCUGUUUAGCCAAGUUAACCUCCUCUUUGCAUUGGUAAAUUUUCCUUGACUCCAUUUUACCAACUUUUUUGCCACAUUCUGCAGUUUCUCAACCACAUUGAGCUGUUGGGAGUCGGGAGCAUUCCAGGUGUCCCUGACAAGGCUCAUGCAUUCCUCCUCUUCUGCCCAAAGGGCUUCAUACUUGAAGUUCU
Molecule: long non-coding RNA, 12035 nt
Filed under: Eucalyptus grandis
Lineage: Eukaryota; Viridiplantae; Streptophyta; Magnoliopsida; Myrtales; Myrtaceae
Description: long non-coding RNA (EGRA_LNC006059)
Source: RNAcentral